CCAGAGUUUGCAGCCGAGUAGGGACUCCUCCCCUGUCCUCUACGAAGGAAAAGAUUGCUAUUGUUGUACUCACCUCCGACGUACUCCGGGGUCUUUUGGGAGUUUUCUCCCCUAACCAUUUCAACUUUUUUUUGGAUUCUCGCUCUUGCAUGCCUCCCCCGUCCUUUUUCCCUUGCCAGUUCCCUGGUGACAGUUACCAGCUUUCCUGAAUGGAUUCCCGGCCCCAUCCCUCACCCCCACCCUCACUUUCAAUCCGUUUGAUACCAUUUGGCUCCUUUUUUGGCACAACAGUCACUGUCCUUGUAAAGUUUUUUAGAUCAAUAAAGUCAGUGGCUUUCAAAAAAAAAAAAAA
This 352-nucleotide long non-coding RNA is filed under the name Homo sapiens (human). Its description in RNAcentral is "lncAB346.1". Lineage: Eukaryota; Metazoa; Chordata; Mammalia; Primates; Hominidae. The record is from RNAcentral.